RNAcentral lists this transfer RNA (107 nucleotides) under Promethearchaeota archaeon. RNAcentral describes it as "Candidatus Lokiarchaeota archaeon (permafrost metagenome) tRNA-Glu". Lineage: Archaea; Promethearchaeati; Promethearchaeota. The record is from RNAcentral.
GCUCCUGUAGUGUAGUCCGGCCAAUCUUUCACCAUAUCUAGAUGAAUGGGCUUGGCAUGCUAGGCUUUCACCCUGGUGACAACCGGGUUCGAAUCCCGGCAGGAGCA